Molecule: long non-coding RNA, 1291 nt
Organism: Oncorhynchus keta (chum salmon)
Lineage: Eukaryota; Metazoa; Chordata; Actinopteri; Salmoniformes; Salmonidae
Exons: 3
Source: RefSeq, a predicted model, not a curated record
CUCUCGCCCCGACCAAACCAAAAUAGAGACAUAAAAAAGCAACUAAAGUCAGGCCAAACACAUAGAAAUACAAAAACAUAGAAAAAGGAACAUAGAAUGCCCACCCCAACUCACACCCUGACCAAACCCAAAGGUAUGAACAGACAAACAAGUCCCUCACUAAGAGUAAGGAGGACAAUAAUGACACAAAGAACAUUUAUUUUGGCAUCUUUUGAUGCCAACCCGACAGGUGACACACCAGCAUGCGCCCUCCAGUAGUCAACGUGUGGGAACCUUUCUUUACCAUACUGUACAGUCAGGGGUCAUUAAUGCGUUGGGGAAUGGUCUGCUGUUUCAUCCACAACUACAUGUGUACAGAACUACGUAUUAACAUUGCUUGGCUAUAUUCUAUGGCUUGAUUCACAACAUUUCACCUGGGAUAACUACUUGAAGAAUGAAGAAUGAUCUAAUUAUUUGUAGCAAUCAAAUUUGAUCUUAUUGACUGUACAAAAGCAAUCUAAGGGGGUUGGGAUAAGCAAAAAGCAGAAAAACUAACUGACUAAGGGGGAAGAGAAGUAUGAUAAGCAGAACAACUAACUAAGGGGGAAGAGAAUUGUGAGAAGCAGAACAACUAACUAAGGGGGAAGAGAAUUAUGAUAAGCAGAACAACUAACUAAGGGGGAAGAGAAUUGUGAGAAGCAGAACAACUAACUAAGGGGGAAGAGAAUUAUGAUAAGCAGAACAACUAACUAAGGGGGAAGAGAAUUAUGAUAAGCAGAACAACUAACUAAGGGGGAAGAGAAUUAUGAUAAGCAGAACAACUAACUAAGGGGGAAGAGAAUUAUGAUAAGCAGAACAACUAACUAAGUGGGAAGAGAAUUAUGAUAAGCAGAACAACUAACUAAGGGGGAAGAGAAUUAUGAUAAGCAGAACAACUAACUAAGGAGGAAGAGAAUUAUGAUAAGCAGAACAACUAACUAAGUGGGAAGAGAAUUAUGAUAAGCAGAACAACUAACUAAGGUGGAAGAGAAUUAUGAUAAGCAGAACAACUAACUAAGUGGGAAGAGAAUUAUGAUAAGCAGAACAACUAAUUAAGGUGGAAGAGAAUUAUGAUAAGCAGAACAACUAACUAAGUGGGAAGAGAAUUAUGAUAAGCAGAACAACUAACUAAGGUGGAAGAGAAUUAGGAAAAACAAAAUGCUGAAAAAUGACAGGAUAUUAAACCAAGAAUAGAAGAGCAGGGAGUCCAUUUCGACAAUAUCACAAAUAACCUGCUCAUGACAACUUGAGGACACAGAUGGCCAGAAGUGUU